CAAUCGCUGCGAUUUGUUACGUUACAAUCGAUCACAAUCGUUUACAAUUCGCUGUCUUCCGCUCGAAGUUACGUCAUUAGUUUCGCGUUACGUCAUAGUUGAUCCGCAUGCGACGGUCUUGCGCGUUCGUUUCGCGAUGUUUUUUUCAUGGGGCCCCAUGCGCGUUUUGCGAUUCUGCCAGGCACAUUACUUGUUUAUUCUAAUUAUAUUUGCGUUAUGAGCGCGAAGCAAGAAGAUCAAGGAAUCGGUAAAGUAUAAAUCACGAUUUGCAUUAUUACGUACAUAAGCUCUUUUUCUAGAAACUUCAACUGUGACGUCACGAAGUGGUGGUGACGUAACAAAAGAACUCACUUCAACCUGGUAUGUGACGUCACAGAGGAUCAAGCGAGCUGUGGCACGAAGAAAAAAUUAAGAAGAGUUCGAAUAAAGCUCCAGUGGAAAGGCGCAAGACGAAAAACAAAGACGAAGGCGCUGAUAAUGGAUACACGGUUUGAGAGUUAUAUGCAUGAAUUGUGGGUUACUUGUAUGUGUGUAUGUGUGUCUUGUCUGCGCUGCUGUAUUCCUAUUCUGCUGGGUCUAAUGUUGCCGGCUAUUUUUAGUCAGUCACUACUAUAGUGCAUUUUGCAUGUCACUGAAAUAUAUGCAAUGAAACUAUAGAGAACAUCUUGCUGGAUCGGAUUUUGUUGUUAUACAAAUCUUUAAGCGAUUUCGUAAUUUUCUGAUCGCUUGGUAAGAACGCUAUGUUGGUACACAAUUACUCGAGUAAUAUUAACACGCAGUAUAAUAUGCGCAUAAAUAAGAUAGUAGCCUUUUUAAAAUAAUUUAAUAUAAAUUUCCCCACGUCUAAUUUAUAUAUUAAAACGUCAUGUAGCGCGAUUGGGACGAUGGCCACGUCACAAUUACGCUACGACGUCGAUACGGUGGGUCAGAGCAUUGUCCUGACCCUGCGUUCGGUGCGGUUACGUCAGUAUUGAUUGAGUUACGUCACGGUCAGUUUGUUGCGUAGACGUCGCCGCCAGUGAUGCUACGCUAGAUAUUUAGGUCACUGUCAAUGCGGUUCGCUACAGCCGGAUUUUGUUUCUUAACGAUCGAUGCGGUGCGUAACAUCCGGACGUUAUUACAUUGUGUGAAGAUAUGACGAGAGUAUCGCGGUACCAACAUGGCGACAUUCAAUACGGUGUACACUGCAGAUGAUUAUCCUUCAGGAUUUGAACUAUAAUUUCUUUGUAUAUGUUUCAAUGAUUAUGUCCGCGUUAAUUAGUUUUUGACCAUGUCCCCUUUUUGAAUGAUUGAGCUGUUGUGUUUGUUGCAUGUUUGGCACAUGUAUGUCGCUGCACUCGUUGUACUAUUUUUGUCUUUUUGUUGGUGUGUUCCUUGCGCACAUUUAUGUGCAUCGUUGUAUUAUUUUUGUCUAUAUGGUUUGUUUUACCUUGCCUGGGUAUGGCAAGGGGUUUCUCACCAGAGUAGAAAC
This is a non-coding RNA of Ciona intestinalis (vase tunicate), 1471 nucleotides long. Lineage: Eukaryota; Metazoa; Chordata; Ascidiacea; Phlebobranchia; Cionidae. The record is from RefSeq and is a predicted model, not a curated record.